Molecule: long non-coding RNA, 372 nt
Organism: Saccostrea echinata
Lineage: Eukaryota; Metazoa; Mollusca; Bivalvia; Ostreida; Ostreidae
Exons: 3
Source: RefSeq, a predicted model, not a curated record
GUAACUAUUUUUCGUGCACGUUUGAGCCAGGAGUACCUUGUUUCUUAUAUCAGGAUGACCAGGACGACUUUGAUUGGACAAUACAGAAUGAGACCACAAAGUAUGGCCCAGAGAGGUCUUAUGAAGGAUCUUACUUUGCGUUUGUUGACGAUGAACAGUAUAGCCAAGGAAAGUCGACAGUACUUGUUUCCAAUGUAGGAUUUUCAGGUGGUCAAUGGUGUAUUCAGUUGCGAUACUACAUACAAAGUGAAUUGUUAGAUGCAAAGCUAGAGGUUUUCAAAACAGGAGAAGAGAAACCGUUUUUCACCUUUAAUAUAGCUGCCAAUAAAGAAUGGAAAUAUGUAAAGAGAAAUAUUGGCAUGACUUAUGAUG